Molecule: long non-coding RNA, 1221 nt
Filed under: Capsella grandiflora
Lineage: Eukaryota; Viridiplantae; Streptophyta; Magnoliopsida; Brassicales; Brassicaceae
Description: long non-coding RNA (CGRA_LNC000027)
Source: RNAcentral
ACUUGCUUUGGAGUUUGGUUUCUGUUUCAUAUGAUGCUCUUGUUCUCUUUUCAGGUGAAGCUAUCAAUGGGCCACGAUUAUUCUUACUCGUGGGAUUCAUCUGACGAGCAAAGUCACCACUACACAGAUGACACCGUAGAGAUGGAGACUGAUGCAUACAUAUUGAUGGAUGAAGAGAACNNNNNNNNNNNNNNNNNNNNAAUGAACCACAGAUUGAGGUUGGCUUCCCCAACCUCUGUUAUUGUGGUGGUCAGCCAAUACUAAAGACCUCUUACACUCGGAAUGAUCCUGGGAGAAAGUAUGUGUGUGUUUACUGAUUUAGGUUUCUUAUUUCAUUUUACUUAUGACAGUUUUCUCACUUGAAAGGUUUUCUGUUUCACAGGUACUAUACAUGCGAGAAUGUUGGUGAUGGAAACUGUCAUCUCCACAAGUGGUGGGAUGUUGCUUUGAUGGAAGAGAUGACUGAAAGGGCAAGAGUAGUUAAUGAGAUGAGAGAACAAGAGAGUAAAAGUGAGGAGAAUGUUCUUAAGCUUCAGAAGCUAGUAGAUAAGUUGGGAGAUGAGGUGCAGAGAAGUAGAGUAACAUUAACAAUGGUUCUUGGUGUCAGCGUUUGUGUUUUGGCCAUUAUGAUUUCAUUAGUUGGUUUAAGUAGGUUGUAAGUUGUAUUAUGGGAAAUACAUUUCAGACUGGUUUGAUGCUCCCUUGUAGUAUAGAUGGUAUGAACUCUAGUUGUGACUUUAUGAGUCACAUGACUUNNNNNNNNNNUUUAUGAGUCACAUGACUUUGUAUUCUUCUGAUAAUUGAAAGAGAAGAAUGGAUUAUUGCCACUUUAUGUGAGUGUAUAUUUUGUUUUCUGUCCUUCUUCGCAUUAUUUACUACUCCACUAGCCAAGACACGAAUCACAUGUAUUUGUAUGUUUCUCUCAUGACAAUCCUAUAAAAUCCCAUUUUCUUUCAACACUUGAAACACAAUCUCUCUCGUUUCCUAUCUACAAAAACUUUUUUAAAAAUUCAAAUCAUCUCAUAAGUUUUAAAAAUUCAAAUCAUCUCAUUUCCUUUCUACUCUCAGAAAGUUUUUUAAAAAUCAAAUAAUCUCAAUUUCUUUCUACUCUAUCUUUCUACUCUCUCAACUUCAACAUUUUUAAAAAAUCAAAGCAAGCCACAAACACAAUCUAUCCUUUCUAUAUUGUUCUCUUCUCGUUCAUCCUCAUCGACAUUAUAA